AGAAGAGAAGAGCACUGGGAUUAAAAGUGCGAACAAAGAAAAGGAAAUCCCAAGCACUAAUUUAAUAUUUUGAAGCAUUUGGGGCAUUUGUGCUGCUGGAACUAAGGAUGCUCAGCAUUUCUGACUCACCCACACGAUUCUUGAAGAACACAGGCAACAUCCACAGUCAACUGCUGCUGCUGAAAUCAUAGAUACUGCUGCAUGAUGUUGGCAUUCAAAAGUGCUGCAAAGCUGGCAUUUCUUGUGAUAUCAAGGCUGGGUGAAUUGGGCCUGGGAACCAGGGCCACAGGAAGAACACAGAGAAUCCACUCUCCCACUGAUGGCUUGAGGACUCGUCCUGGAUUUCACCAAACCUUCACUCCUAUACUUGUCCUCCAGCCCUUGCAUGGUUUGAGAAGAUUUAGCAGAAAAGCAAAAUGACUGAUUGCCAUCAAUCAGCCAUAUGAAGGCUAGUUUGGACAUUUCAUGAGGAAUCUAACUCUAUUUAGUGUGCUCCCAUUAAGAAAACUCUUUGUAUUUUGAGGGCCUAAAUCUAAAUAUAAUGGAUUUCCGUUGUCUUUGUGCCUUUGUAUUUUUCCACCUUUGACUGACCAACUUAUAAAUUUAGAUAGUGAAAGUCAAUGAAAUCAUAAGCAGCUUUAUCAACCUAAUUUUAAACCCAGAUGGAAAACAUACAAGAUGUUUAUAAUAUUGUGAUGCUCAAAAGACAAAGAUAAACCUCCUGUUAUCCUAGCUCUCCUGUUGCCAUAAGUGGGGGAGUCAUGUUUCAUUUUUUAUAUGAAAACUUUUUCAAUUUUAUAGUGACUAAUAGCACCAGAAGCAACAUUUUGUUCAUUAGACGUGCAUAAUUAAUAAUCAAUCCUUCCUUUACUAGACCUGGUUAUUGGAAGUAUUUGUAAGCAAAACCACAUAUUCUGUACUAGUUCCAAAUAAAUAAGAGGGACAUCCUCA
Molecule: long non-coding RNA, 951 nt
Filed under: Zonotrichia albicollis (white-throated sparrow)
Lineage: Eukaryota; Metazoa; Chordata; Aves; Passeriformes; Passerellidae
Description: lncRNA (ENSZALG00000001322.1)
Source: RNAcentral